UUCAAUCAAAUACUUCAGCCUGGUCGGUUCUUACUAAUAUUUAAGCCAGCUUCAAUUUUUAGUCUACUCAGUCAUUUUGGAUUACUUUCAGUUUUGGGUGCAUGUCUUUAAUAGAACAACAAACUGAUUUUAGCUGCUAAAAUAAACACUAAACGCUAAUUCCUCAUGGCAACUAUUUGUAGAAGACCAUCCCACUGGAGGAGAUCCUGACUAUCGAUGUCAAGCCAGGGUGGAAGAAGGGCACGAAGAUCACCUUCCGAGAUGGAAGGAUCUGAUUUUUCCUGUGCAGUUAUGUAUUUCAAAAACUUAUUGCGAUGUAAUUUUUAUAUUAACACUAUAGUCUAUGAAGUUCUAUUUACAGAUAUUUCAUUUUUCGCAUAAGACGAGGCACCGUUUUAUUUUAAAAUAUUUCAUGAAGUAAAAUUCGUGAAUAAACUGAAUGAUGUUUCAGAGGAUACGAAUGGUUGUGACUUGUAGGGUUGCCCGGGGAGGCGACUGCGGCGGG
This 505-nucleotide long non-coding RNA is filed under the name Triticum aestivum (bread wheat). Its description in RNAcentral is "long non-coding RNA (TAES_LNC000211)". Lineage: Eukaryota; Viridiplantae; Streptophyta; Magnoliopsida; Poales; Poaceae. The record is from RNAcentral.